Molecule: ribosomal RNA, 253 nt
Filed under: uncultured bacterium
Lineage: Bacteria
Description: partial 16S ribosomal RNA
Rfam family: Bacterial small subunit ribosomal RNA
Source: RNAcentral
UACGUAGGGUGCAAGCGUUGUCCGGAAUUAUUGGGCGUAAAGAGCUCGUAGGCGGUCUGUCGCGUCGGAUGUGAAAACCCAGGGCUCAACCCUGGGCCUGCAUUCGAUACGGGCAGACUAGAGUGUGGUAGGGGAGACUGGAAUUCCUGGUGUAGCGGUGAAAUGCGCAGAUAUCAGGAGGAACACCGGUGGCGAAGGCGGUUCUCUGGGCAUUACCUGACGCUGAGGAGCGAAAGUGUGGGGAGCGAACAGG